This 462-nucleotide ribosomal RNA is filed under the name Providencia alcalifaciens. Its description in RNAcentral is "bacterial SSU rRNA". It matches the Rfam family "Bacterial small subunit ribosomal RNA", at positions 928 to 1393 of the family's 1533-position model. Lineage: Bacteria; Pseudomonadati; Pseudomonadota; Gammaproteobacteria; Enterobacterales; Morganellaceae. The record is from RNAcentral.
GGCGGGCGGGGCGGGGGCACGGGGGGAACGCGAAGAACCUUACCUACUCUUGACAUCCAGAGAAUUUAGCAGAGAUGCUUUAGUGCCUUCGGGAACUCUGAGACAGGUGCUGCAUGGCUGUCGUCAGCUCGUGUUGUGAAAUGUUGGGUUAAGUCCCGCAACGAGCGCAACCCUUAUCCUUUGUUGCCAGCACGUAAUGGUGGGAACUCAAAGGAGACUGCCGGUGAUAAACCGGAGGAAGGUGGGGAUGACGUCAAGUCAUCAUGGCCCUUACGAGUAGGGCUACACACGUGCUACAAUGGCGUAUACAAAGAGAAGCGACCUCGCGAGAGCAAGCGGAACUCAUAAAGUACGUCGUAGUCCGGAUUGGAGUCUGCAACUCGACUCCAUGAAGUCGGAAUCGCUAGUAAUCGUAGAUCAGAAUGCUACGGUGAAUACGUUCCCGGGUCUUGUACACACCGA